GGAGAGUAAACAAGGCAUGCUGUGGGGGUUGAUGGGCUUGGAGGAGGCCAUGCUCUUAUAGGGUGUGACAGCUCAUCAACGAGAGGCAAUAACCUUUCCAUCUGACCCCAGUUCAGGUUCUCUGACCAAUGAACAUGAGAAAGGAAAGCACUCCGCCCCUACCCCAACCACCACCUCACCACCACCACACAAGGACAACCCUCAUUCAAAUGGAGAUAUUAAAAAUAUCAAUCUCAGAAGGCUUUUGAAAAUAAACUUAAUUAUCCAAA
Rattus norvegicus (Norway rat) is the source of this 269-nucleotide non-coding RNA. NCBI's taxonomy places the organism in Eukaryota, Metazoa, Chordata, Mammalia, Rodentia, Muridae. The record is from RefSeq and is a predicted model, not a curated record.